This 468-nucleotide ribosomal RNA is filed under the name uncultured bacterium. RNAcentral's name for it is "partial 16S ribosomal RNA". It matches the Rfam family "Bacterial small subunit ribosomal RNA", at positions 28 to 507 of the family's 1533-position model. The record is from RNAcentral.
GACGAACGCUGGCGGCGUGCUUAACACAUGCAAGUCGAACGGAAAGGCCCUGCUUUUGUGGGGUGCUCUAGUGGAGAACGGGGGAGUAACACGUGUGUAACCUGUCCUCUACUUUGAGAUAACUUCAGGAAAUUUGGGCUAAUACCGGAUAGGAGCUCCUGCUGCAUGGUGGGGGUGGGAAAGUUUCGGCGGUUGGGGAUGUACUCGCGGCUUAUCACCUUGUUGGUGGGGUAGUGGCUUACCAAGGCUUUUACGGGUAGCCGCCCUGAGAGGGUGACCGGCCCCACUAGGACUGAGAUGCGGCACAGACUCCUCCCGGAGGCAGCAGUGCGGAAUAUUGACUAAUGGGCGGGGGCCAACUCUGAUCACGCCACGUGGCGGGUGUCAGCCAUCCCGUAGUAAACCGCUUUCCCCUGAGACGAAACGUGAGUGACGGUACUGGGUAAAGAAGCACCGGCUAACUCCGUG